This 397-nucleotide ribosomal RNA is filed under the name uncultured bacterium. RNAcentral's name for it is "bacterial SSU rRNA". It matches the Rfam family "Bacterial small subunit ribosomal RNA", at positions 362 to 775 of the family's 1533-position model. The record is from RNAcentral.
UAUUGCACAAUGGGGGAAACCCUGAUGCAGCAACGCCGCGUGAGGGACGAAGGCCUUCGGGUCGUAAACCUCUUUUCUGGGGGACGAGACAGGACGGUACCUCAGGAAUAAGUCUCGGCUAACUACGUGCCAGCAGCCGCGGUAAUACGUAGGGUGCGAGCGUUAAUCGGAAUUACUGGGCGUAAAGCGUGCGCAGGCGGUCUUGCAAGACAGUGGUGAAAUCCCCGGGCUCAACCUGGGAACUGCCAUUGUGACUGCAAGGCUGGAGUACGGCAGAGGGGGAUGGAAUUCCGCGUGUAGCAGUGAAAUGCGUAGAUAUGCGGAGGAACACCGAUGGCGAAGGCAGUCCCCUGGGCCUGUACUGACGCUCAUGCACGAAAGCGUGGGGAGCAAACAG